CCUACGGGUGGCAGCAGUCGAGAAUUUUUCUCAAUGGGGGAAACCCUGAAGGAGCGACGCCGCGUGGAGGAUGAAGGUCUUCGGAUUGUAAACUCCUGUCAUUUGAGAACUAGUAUCAGAAGAGGAAGAGACGGCUAACUCUGUGCCAGCAGCCGCGGUAAUACAGAGGGCUCAAGCGUUGUUCGGAUUCAUUGGGCGUAAAGGGAGCGUAGGCGGUCGGGUAAGUUGGAUGUGAAAUCCUGGGGCUCAACCUCAGAACUGCAUUCAAUACUGCUUGGCUAGAGUAUUGGAGAGGUGAGUGGAAUUCACGGUGUAGCAGUGAAAUGCGUAGAUAUCGUGAGGAAGACCAGCGGCGAAGGCGGCUCACUGGACAUACUGACGCUGAUGCGCGAAGGCUAGGGGAGCAAACGGGAUUAGAUACCCCUGUAGUC
This 431-nucleotide ribosomal RNA is filed under the name uncultured bacterium. Its description in RNAcentral is "partial 16S ribosomal RNA". It matches the Rfam family "Bacterial small subunit ribosomal RNA", at positions 338 to 795 of the family's 1533-position model. The record is from RNAcentral.